This 742-nucleotide ribosomal RNA is filed under the name uncultured bacterium. RNAcentral's name for it is "bacterial SSU rRNA". It matches the Rfam family "Bacterial small subunit ribosomal RNA", at positions 8 to 798 of the family's 1533-position model. The record is from RNAcentral.
AGAGUUUGAUCAUGGCUCAGAGCGAACGCUGGCGGCAGGCCUAAUACAUGCAAGUCGAACGGCUCUUCGGAGCAGUGGCGGACGGGUGAGUAACGCGUGGGAACGUGCCCUUUGGUUCGGAACAACACAGGGAAACUUGUGCUAAUACCGAAUGUGCCCUUCGGGGGAAAGAUUUAUCGCCAUUGGAGCGGCCCGCGUUGGAUUAGCUAGUUGGUGGGGUAAAGGCCCACCAAGGCUACGAUCCAUAGCUGGUCUGAGAGGAUGAUCAGCCACACUGGGACUGAGGCACGGCCCAGACUCCUACGGGAGGCAGCAGUAGGGAAUCUUGCGCAAUGGGCGAAAGCCUGACGCAGCCAUGCCGCGUGAAUGAUGAAGGUCUUAGGAUUGUAAAAUUCUUUCACCGGGGAAGAUAAUGACGGUACCCGGAGAAGAAGCCCCGGCUAACUUCGUGCCAGCAGCCGCGGUAAUACGAAGGGGGCUAGCGUUGCUCGGAAUUACUGGGCGUAAAGGGCGCGUAGGCGGACAUUUAAGUCAGAGGUGAAAGCCCAGGGCUCAACCUUGGAAUUGCCUUUGAUACUGGAUGUCUUGAGUUCGGGAGAGGUGAGUGGAAUGCCGAGUGUAGAGGUGAAAUUCGUAGAUAUUCGGCGGAACACCAGUGGCGAAGGCGACUCACUGGCCCGAUACUGACGCUGAGGCGCGAAAGCGUGGGGAGCAAACAGGAUUAGAUACCCCGGUAGUCCAA